UUCAAAAUGGCGGCUUACAUGUUGUUUUWCCGCAAAAUGUUUUGGGUUUGGUUUUCUGGGUGUCCUUUGACAGUAAGAAUAGAAUCAUAGUAUCAUGGACGAGCAAGACACAUUUCAAGAUGGAGGUGGCUGUGAAGAAGGCAUGUCCAAUGAAUGUAUUGAAGAUCAUUGCGAGAGUAAACAACAGAAUACUGUAAAUGCAUGUAACGGCGAUAAUGACAUCAAAAAAAAAAGACUUUCCAGAAGGAAG
Long non-coding RNA from Exaiptasia diaphana, 250 nucleotides. RefSeq lists it as uncharacterized. The transcript has 3 exons. The record is from RefSeq and is a predicted model, not a curated record. Lineage: Eukaryota; Metazoa; Cnidaria; Anthozoa; Actiniaria; Aiptasiidae.